RNAcentral lists this long non-coding RNA (623 nucleotides) under Cyanistes caeruleus (blue tit). RNAcentral's name for it is "lncRNA (ENSCCEG00000017799.1)". The record is from RNAcentral. Lineage: Eukaryota; Metazoa; Chordata; Aves; Passeriformes; Paridae.
UUAACCGUGUUCCAGGUGGCCUCACAAAGCAUCAGUUUGGUUCCUUCCAGCCCAUUCCGUACCUCUGUGAUGAAGAACAGCAUCGGUGAGCAUUCUGUGAUGCUCUGCAUCUGGAAAAGGGAGGGCUCCUGUCCACGAGCAUUGAGUGACAACCUCGAACCUGUUUCUUCCCAGCCCACCUGGGAAUCCAACCUGCACUCGGAUUUCAAGGGAGAGGGAAUGUGAAGUGUUUCCUCAUCCAACCUGCCGCUAUCUCUUUAGCAGCGAGCCUCUCUCUCCUCUACGCGAUUCAUUCACCCAACGCUGCUGAUUGGGACUUCACAGCACUUCAAAGGUUUCGAGAGGCUCUGAAGGAUCCUGUCACCUCUCCUGGGUCAAGGCUCCUCAGCUUUCCAGACAAACACUUUUCCCGGGAUGUUUUGCCAAAUGCCAUGGUGACUCACCCUUGUCACUCCUCUUCUCUGGGGUAGCAACACUGAGAGGGAAAAACAACUGCUGUUUACUGCCAUGCCCAAAAUGGGCCUUGACACUGCCAGCAGGAUUUGGAAAGACAGAAAUAGAGGAGUGAUUAUGGAGUGCAAUUAAGAGACAGCCCUCAGGAUCCUCCUCCAGAGGAGGAUUGG